Molecule: RNA transcript, 3197 nt
Organism: Quercus lobata
Lineage: Eukaryota; Viridiplantae; Streptophyta; Magnoliopsida; Fagales; Fagaceae
Gene: ORP2A
Gene name: OSBP(oxysterol binding protein)-related protein 2A
Exons: 11
Source: RefSeq, a predicted model, not a curated record
ACAGAGAUACAGAUAUAAAUAUUUGGUGUGUACUACUUUGCCAUCAAUUUAAGUAACAAAACCCCAUUUUUUUAAGUAAACAAAUCCCUCAAUUUCUCUCUCUUUCUCUCUCAGUUUCAGAGCUCAAUAUCUUUCUCUCACCUUCUAAUUCUCUCUCUCUCUCUCACAUUUUGAUGCUUCUUGGUUUUCGCUUAUGGAAUAAGUGGAAAAACUGAAUGAGAUUUGGUGCAAAAAAAUGCGAGUGAAGGAAAUGCACCCGCUGUGUUGUAUUUCGCUGGAGAGUCCUGGAGGUAGUAUUAGGGAUCAAUCGCCGGAGCCGCCAUUGUCGGCGUCGCUAUUGAGAGCGAGGAGUUUGCCGGCUACGGCGACGGCCGGCGGAUCUGACCGCAUUGCGGGACGAUCGGAGGCCACGGUGGCCGGAGUCCUCUACAAGUGGACCAAUUACGGCAAAGGAUGGAGAUCCAGGUGGUUCCUUUUGCGCAACGGCGUUCUUUCCUAUACGAAAAUCCGGCGGACGGAGAAUCUCAACCUCCUUAUGUCUCCGACCUCCGACGACAUCACGCUGAUCGGAGAAAUCUCCGCCAAUCGGCUCACGAGAUUGGACAGUAGUGGCAGACGAAAGCACCACCAGAAAACCGUUGGCAUUGUCCAUCUCAAGAUCUCAUCUUUUCGGGAGAGCAAAUCUGAUGAUCGAAAGUUCUACAUAUUUACAGCCACAAAGACCCUUCAUCUGAGAACUGAUUCGAAGAGCGAUCGGGUGGCUUGGAUUCAAGCUUUGGUCUCAACUCGGAGCCUAUUUUUACUUAGACCAAUCAAUGACAAUCUCUCCCUUGUGCCAAAUGAUAUAUCUAUAUCAACCGAAAGGCUUAAAAAACGCUUGCUUGAAGAGGGAAUAAACGAGAACCUUGUAAAUGAUUGUGAGCAGAUUAUGCGUUCAGAAUUCUCAGAAAUAAAAGGACAAGUUCAAGUUCUUUGUGAACAGCGAUCCAAUUUGCUUGACACGUUAAGGCAGUUAGAGGCAGCUAAUAUUGAAGCUGAGGCCUCUGGGAUUCAUGAUGGUCAAUACCAACUGACCAAACAUGAAUUUUCGAGUCUAGGGCGUGGAAAAUACAGUGAAUGCAGCACGACUGAAUCGUCUGAUGAUAUUGAGAAACAAGAGCUUGAGGAAGUGUCAGAUGAAGAUGAAAUGUCCUUUCAUGACUCAAAAGAGUAUUUUACUGAACCCGACGUUAGCUGUGGGUCUAUAAAAGAAGUUUCCAAUCACCUUGAUAAUUAUGGAGAAGCUGAAAGCCAAUGUGAUGUGGCGAAAGUUCAGAACAAUAGGGAAGUUCGAAAUUCUAGAUAUCCACACAUUGAAAGGCGGAAAAAGCUUCCGGAUCCUGUUGAGAAGGAGAAGGGGGUCAGUCUUUGGUCUAUGAUCAAGGACAAUGUGGGAAAAGACCUCACACGUGUUUGCCUCCCUGUUUACUUUAAUGAGCCAAUAUCAUCUCUUCAAAAAUGUUGUGAGGACUUAGAAUACUCUUUUCUUUUGGAUAAAGCAUAUGAGUACGGGAAAGCGGGGAACAGUCUUCAGAGGAUUCUGAAUGUUGCUGCUUUUGCGGUUUCUGGAUAUGCUUCCUCUGAAGGUCGAAAUUGUAAACCAUUCAAUCCUUUGUUGGGGGAAACUUAUGAAGCUGACUAUCCUGAGAAAGGAAUUCGCUUCUUCUCUGAGAAGGUCAGUCACCACCCAACACUCAUUGCCUGCCACUGUGAAGGAAGAGGGUGGAAAUUCUGGUGUGACAGCAACCUCCGCACAAAAUUUUGGGGGCGGUCAAUUCAGCUUGACCCUGUUGGAGUUCUGACCUUAGAGUUUGAUGAUGGUGAAAUUUUCCAGUGGAGCAAGGUCACUACAACUAUUUAUAAUCUUAUCCUCGGUAAAGUUUAUUGUGGUCACCAUGGGACAAUGCACAUACAUGGUAAUCGCGAAUAUUCAUGCAAACUCAAGUUUAAAGAACAGUCUAUUCUUGACCGAAAUCCUCGCCAGGUAAAUGGAUUUGUUGAAGAUGUUAUGGGAAAAAAGGUUGCCACAUUAUUUGGGAAGUGGGAUGAUAGCAUGUAUUAUGUUAAUAAUGAUGGGAGUGGCAAGCCCAAGGAUUGUACUUCCUCUUCUGAUGCAUCCUUGCUAUGGAAAAGGAGUAAGCCGCCUCCUAAUCUCACUCGGUACAACUUAACUUCGUUUGCAAUCACACUAAAUGAGCUGACACCAGGACUGCAGUUGUGUCUGAUCCCGGGUAUUUGAUCACGGAUUAAGGAGAAGCUCCCACCCACGGACUCGAGGCUUCGACCAGAUCAACGACAUUUGGAAAAUGGCGAAUAUGAGAAGGCAAAUGCGGAGAAACAGCGCUUGGAAAAGAGGCAAAGAAUGGCAAGGAAAAUGCAAGAAAAUGGGUGGAAGCCCAGAUGGUUCCAGAAAGAAGAAGGUGAUAAUGGACCCUUCCGCUAUGUUGGUGGAUAUUGGGAAGCUCGGCAGCAGGGCAAAUGGGAUGAAUGUCCAAAUAUAUUUGGUGAAUUCAAUGAAGACCUUGUUGAUCCCUUAGAAGUGUCAUGAUCUUAGUUCAGCUCAACCACAACUCAAAAGGCCUUUAUCAAAAGAAAAAGAUCUGUCAUCCAGUGAUCAUAUUCAUUCAUCACUUAAUCAAAAUUGCAUUUUAUCACAUGGCAAAGUUCAAUUGUAAAGCAAGCUACGGGCAUAAUUACCUAUGCCCCUCUACUGCUUAGGUCUAGUACAACAUGUCACUGAAUGUGUUCAUUACUCAUUAGAAUUGCCAUGAAAAGUUGUUAGAUUGAUUGUUUUGCUGAUAAUGCAGGAUAGGUAGAAAACCUUUACAACUGUUAGAGAGUAAGCUGGGCAAGAAAUGACCUGGUUGUCCAUGUUUUUUGGCCGUAUGUACCAGAAUUUUAGUCUAAAGUUGGCAAAAUUGAUCCCCACAUGCAUUCGAGUGAAGAAAUCAUCUUUCAAGCACGUGGCAAUGGUUAGGUCAGAAGUCUAGUGUAUCUUUUUAACAUUGUCCAUGUCUGCAGUGGGGGUUAGCUUGUGUAAUGUAAUCUCUCUCUCUCUCUCUCGUUUUAAACUGUGCUAGCCCUUGGCUGAGCAUUUAUUUCAUAUUUAUUUGUACUUUCUUUAUUUGAAAUAAUAAAAGAAACAAAGAUUUUUUUUU